UAAGAGGGGGGAGAGGGUGGGGUGGUAAUGCAGAGGGGGGAGGGGUGGUUGGUGAUGAGUGGGGGUGAGGGGGGCGGUGUCGGGUGGGUAAGGUGGGGUUGAAAGCGCCGGGCGCAACUCGGAGUCUGCCGCGGAAACUGCCAUGCUUGAGUGUGGGAGAGGUGAGUGGAAUGCCCGGUGUAGCGGUGAAAUGCGUAGAUAUCGGGAGGAACACCUGUGGCGAAAGCGGCUCACUGGACCACAACUGACGCUGAGGCGCGAAAGCUAGGGGAGCAAACAGGAUUAGAUACCCGGGUAGUC
RNAcentral lists this ribosomal RNA (300 nucleotides) under uncultured Methanocalculus sp. Its description in RNAcentral is "partial 16S ribosomal RNA". The stretch from base 55 to 300 matches the Rfam family "Bacterial small subunit ribosomal RNA", at positions 550 to 795 of the family's 1533-position model. Lineage: Archaea; Methanobacteriati; Methanobacteriota; Methanomicrobia; Methanomicrobiales; Methanocalculaceae. The record is from RNAcentral.